RNAcentral lists this ribosomal RNA (388 nucleotides) under uncultured bacterium. Its description in RNAcentral is "bacterial SSU rRNA". It matches the Rfam family "Bacterial small subunit ribosomal RNA", at positions 29 to 417 of the family's 1533-position model. The record is from RNAcentral.
AUUGAACGCUGGCGGAAUGCUUUACACAUGCAAGUCGAGCGGCAGCGCGGGGGCAACCCUGGCGGCGAGCGGCGAACGGGUGAGUAACAUAUCGGAACGUACCCGUCGUGGGGGAUAACACAGCGAAAGCUGUGCUAAUACCGCAUACGACCUGAGGGUGAAAGCGGGGGAUCGCAAGACCUCGCGCGAUGGGAGCGGCCGAUAUCGGAUUAGCUUGUUGGUGAGGUAAAGGCUCACCAAGGCGACGAUCCGUAGCUGGUCUGAGAGGACGACCAGCCACACUGGAACUGAGACACGGUCCAGACUCCUACGGGAGGCAGCAGUGGGGAAUUUUGGGACAAUGGGGGGCAACCCUGAUCCAGCCAUUCCGCGUGAGUGAAGAAGGCCU